GCAAGUCUGGUGCCAGCAGCCGCGGUAAUUCCAGCUCCAAUAGCGUAUAUUAAAGUUGUUGAGGUUAAAAAGCUCGUAGUUGAACCUUGGGCCUAGCCGGCCGGUCCGCCUCACCGCGUGCACUGGCUCGGUUGGGCCUUUCCUUCUGGAGAACCGCAUGCCCUUCACUGGGUGUGUUGGGGAACCAGGACUUUUAC
This 197-nucleotide ribosomal RNA is filed under the name uncultured fungus. Its description in RNAcentral is "partial 18S ribosomal RNA". It matches the Rfam family "Eukaryotic small subunit ribosomal RNA", at positions 555 to 755 of the family's 1831-position model. Lineage: Eukaryota; Fungi. The record is from RNAcentral.